UGGCAGUAUCUUUUGUAAAAAGGAAGUUUAUGACAAUGAGAAUUUUUCAAAUACCAUUCAAAUAGCUCCCUAAAUUUUAUAAUUAGUGGCUCAUUUAAAAUUACAUUUAUUUUAAGAGAUUAAGGUUUCAGUCUGCAACUGUCUUUUUAAAAUAAUGUAGUGGGGGCCCAGGAUUUAGCUCAGUGGUUUUGGCGCCUGCCUCGAAAGCGCAAGGUCCUGAGUUUGAUCCUUGGUACCAAAAAAAUAAAUAAAUAAAAUAAUGUAGUAAACCAGAAAUGUAAAUUUUUCUUGAAAUGGAAAAGUCGUUUUGAACAUACCAGAUCUCUGUUCCAUUAAUCUGGAUGCAUGAUCUCCAUCCAUCCCUAAAAGGGAUGUAAUAGAUUCUUGUUUUGUUUCUCAUUAUAUUCUGUUUGAAGCACUAGUGAAUAAAUGAUUUUUUAAAAAGAAAAAAAAAAUUGGGGGGGCCAGGGAUUUAGCUCAGUGGUUCUGCUGCCUGCCUUGCAAGUGCAAGGUCCCAAGUUCAAUCCCUGGUACCAAAAAAAAAAUUUUUUUUUGAGACAGGGUCUCAAACUCAGGCUUGGCUCGAAUUUAAGAUUCAGCCGUGCACCACCAAGCAUGGCUGAGAUUGUGAUUUUUACCUUCUUGUUGGUUUUAUGUUCUUUCUAUAGUUUACAUGCAUUACUCAUGUAAAUUCACCCAUUUUAAUCAUUUCAAAAAUGACUCAUGAUGUGAGGAAAAUAUGCCAUGAUACUUUUUGGGGGGGGGUACCGGGGAUCAAACUCUGGACCUUGCGCUUGCGAGGCAGGCACCAGAACCACUGAGUUAAAUCCCCGGCCCGCUAUGAUACAUUUUAUUUAUUUAUUUAUUUUUGGUACGGGGAGGGACUCGAACUCAGGUCCUUGAGCUUGCACAGCAGGUGGCGAAACCACUGAGCUAAAUCCCCGGCCCCUAUGAUACAUUUUAAAAGGCAGAAAAUAGAGGAAGAAGGCGCUGGUGGGCAGUGGUGGUGGCGGCGCGUGAUGGGGACUCGAAGUAGGCACCCUGGCCCUGGUAGCUGACGGGGGCAAGACAUGGGCACGGCUGGCGCUGGUGCUGCUGGCAGCCUACAGACCUUGGGUGCGUAGACCCCUUCCGCAUUCCUGCUGUGAGUGAAGAAACGGGACUUCAGCUUGAAACAGCUGCACCAUAUGACAGGUCCUGCAGCCCGCGCAUCGCUGGGAAAAGCCAAGUUUAUCACAUCCAUGUGUAGAUGGGCUGACAUUAGAGAGAGAAAGUGGCAGCUAGCUGGAAGAGAUUUUAUCCCUGACAUGCACAACAAGCACAAGGGUUUGGGUUCCAUCUUCAUACUGCAGAAGAAAAAGGGAAAUAUAUAUAUAUAGAUAUAGAUAUAGAUAUAGAUGUAUAUAUAGAUAUAUAUCUACAUCCUUCAAAGAGGUAGUUAUGGUUAAUGAGGUCAUGAGAGUGGACUUUAAUCCAGCAGGACUGGUGUUGUGGUUUGGAUUUGAAAUGUCCCUCUAGAGGUUCAUUGUGUUGAAGACUUGAUUGUUGCUGAGUUUUGGGGAAAAUGAUUGGAUCUUAAGAGCUCUACCUUCCAGAAGUGAAUUAAUGCACUGAUGAGAUCGUAAUUUGAUGCUGUUACUAGAAGGUGACAGAAGCUGGAGGUGGGGCAUGGUUGAAGGGAGUAGAACGCAGUGUCAUGAUCUUGGGAACUAUAUCUGAUCCCCUACCCCUUCCAC
Long non-coding RNA from Heterocephalus glaber (naked mole-rat), 1736 nucleotides. The record is from Ensembl. NCBI's taxonomy places the organism in Eukaryota, Metazoa, Chordata, Mammalia, Rodentia, Bathyergidae.